This 678-nucleotide ribosomal RNA is filed under the name Phlegmacium cupreonatum. RNAcentral describes it as "eukaryotic LSU rRNA". The stretch from base 277 to 430 matches the Rfam family "5.8S ribosomal RNA". The record is from RNAcentral. Lineage: Eukaryota; Fungi; Basidiomycota; Agaricomycetes; Agaricales; Cortinariaceae.
ACAAGGUUUCCGUAGGUGAACCUGCGGAAGGAUCAUUAUUGAAAAUAAACCUGAUGGGUUGCUGCUGGUUCUCUAGGGAGCAUGUGCACGCUUGUCGUCUUUAUAUCUCCACCUGUGCACCUUUUGUAGACCUGGAUGUCUCUCUGAGUGCUAGUCACUCAGGUUUGAGGAUUGACUUCAUGUCUCUCCUUACAUUUUCAGGCCUAUGUUUCUUCAUAUACCCCAAUGUAUGUCUUAGAAUGUAAUCAAUGGGCCUUUGUGCCUAUAAAUCUAUACAACUUUCAGCAACGGAUCUCUUGGCUCUCGCAUCGAUGAAGAACGCAGCGAAAUGCGAUAAGUAAUGUGAAUUGCAGAAUUCAGUGAAUCAUCGAAUCUUUGAACGCACCUUGCGCUCCUUGGUAUUCCGAGGAGCAUGCCUGUUUGAGUGUCAUUAAUAUAUCAACCUCUUCAGCUUUUGCUUGUUGAGUGUUGGAUGUGGGGGUUCAUUUUUUUUGCUGGCCUUUUAGCAAGGUCAGCUCCCCUGAAAUGCAUUAGCGGAACAAUUUGCAGACCGUUCAUUGGUGUGAUAACUAUCUACGCUAUUGACGUGAAGCAGUUCAGCUUCUAACUGUCUAUUGACUUGGACAACUUUUCAUUAAUGUGACCUCAAAUCAGGUAGGACUACCCGCUGAACUUAAG